Molecule: ribosomal RNA, 253 nt
Filed under: uncultured prokaryote
Description: partial 16S ribosomal RNA
Rfam family: Bacterial small subunit ribosomal RNA
Source: RNAcentral
UACGUAGGGAGCGAGCGUUGUCCGGAAUUACUGGGCGUAAAGGGCGCGUAGGCGGCUAUGCAAGUCUCAUGUGAAAGUCCUGGGCUCAACCUGGGGAGUGCAUGGGAAACUGUGUGGCUUGAGUGUGGUAGAGGAUCGCGGAAUUCCUAGUGUAGCGGUGAAAUGCGUAGAUAUUAGGAGGAACACCAGUGGCGAAGGCGGCGAUCUGGGCCAUAACUGACGCUGAGGCGCGAAAGCGUGGGGAGCAAACAGG